GUGGCGACCGGCGCACGGGUGCGUAACGCGUAUGCAAUCUACCUUUAUCAGAGGGAUAGCCCGAAGAAAUUCGGAUUAAUACCUCAUAAUAUAAUUGAAUAGCAUUAUUUGAUUAUUAAAGCUCCGGCGGAUAAAGAUGAGCAUGCGUGACAUUAGCUAGUUGGUGAGGUAACGGCUCACCAAGGCUACGAUGUCUAGGGGAUCUGAGAGGACUACCCCCCACACUGGUACUGAGACACGGACCAGACUCC
Molecule: ribosomal RNA, 251 nt
Filed under: uncultured bacterium
Lineage: Bacteria
Description: partial 16S ribosomal RNA
Rfam family: Bacterial small subunit ribosomal RNA
Source: RNAcentral